AGGGUGUCAGGAGACUGUCACCAGUGAGUCCUCAAAGGUUUAUGGUGAGAGGUUUGAGCUUUUCUUCCAUAUUCCUGUCACAAAAUCAGGCCGGUAAAUCGAGAGAAAGGAAGAAAGUUUAUCAACCAUCUGUGUCCCUGCUGGUGGGAUGCUGGACAUCUUCCUCCUGGUCUUCCUGGGUUCCGCGUUUUGCAGCGUUGCUGGAGCAGUGCUGGGCAUGCGUGGCAGUGUGGGCACAUCCCCAUGAACAAGGAGCCCUGGGGAGGGCCCCAGGAACCCCACAGACUGGCAGAACCAUCCGUCCACCAUUUUCUAGGAAAAAUUGCCUUUGGUUUGCCUUCAUUUAGAUUUCCAGCACUCCGAGGGGAAUGAAGCCAUGCUCUAGCACAGAGGAGAGAGACACCAAAGAAACUAGACAGGAGGAGCCAAGAUGAGGCGUUUCCUUUUGGGGAGGAAUAAUCUCUGAGAGAAGAAGCGCCAUCCUCCUGCUGUCUGUGAGUCAUGAAGCUGAAGCCAGUGAAUAAAACAUGGUUUUUGUAGAUGAAAUCUGUGCUCGUGGUUUAAUCGCUGGACGUUGUAGCCGAGAAAGCCAUGUCCCCGGAGCGUCUGUCUGCACCACAGCUGACUUUUCCCAGGGAUGGUGAUCGACCUUAGGAUGGAGCUGUCUUACCGGUCGUGGUUCCCGCAGAACCUGGCAGAGUCCUGGCCCAGAGUGGGCGCUCAGUGACUACUAGAUGAAUGGCACCGUGGGGUGUGGUCCACAGACCCUGAGGAAAAGACUGCCCUGGAAAACUGCCCCCUCUGGAGACCAAACGUGUGACUGACAAAACCUGAGGUUGCUCAGUGCUUAUCCCCUCCUGGCUAAGACCAGAGGCUCCCCCAACUGUAUUCUCGUCAACUUACAGCUUUGAUUUUAAUUCAAAAAUGUCAAGUUACUAGUCUUUCUUUUUUUGGUGAGGAAGAUUGUCACUGAGCUAACAUCUGUGCCCAUCUUCCUCUGUUUUGUAUGUGGGACACCGCCAUGGCUUGAUCAGCAGUGUGUAGGUCUGCACCCAGGAUCCAAACCCGUGAACCCUAGGCCGUUGAAGUGGAGCUCCCGAACUUAACCACUAUGCCACUGGGCCAACCACUAUGCCACCAGGCCAGCCGCUAAGUUAUGAUUCUUACAGUCGCCAUCUCUUCCUGCUGAAGCGCAUCCUUGAGUAGCCCUCUUGGGGAAGGUCUGUGGGUUGCAAACUCUGUCUGUG
RNAcentral lists this long non-coding RNA (1247 nucleotides) under Equus caballus (horse). Its description in RNAcentral is "lncRNA (ENSECAG00000044704.1)". Lineage: Eukaryota; Metazoa; Chordata; Mammalia; Perissodactyla; Equidae. The record is from RNAcentral.